GCUGGGCGUGGUGGCGUGUGCCUGUAAUCCCAACUACUCAGGAGGCUGAGGCAGGAGAAUCGCUUGAACCCAGGAGGCGGAGAUUGCGGUGAGCUGAGAUUGCGCCACGGCACUCCUGCCUGGGUAACAGGGCAAGACUCUGUCUCAA
Papio anubis (olive baboon) is the source of this 148-nucleotide unclassified non-coding RNA. It matches the Rfam family "Metazoan signal recognition particle RNA". Rfam says of the family: The signal recognition particle (SRP) is a universally conserved ribonucleoprotein. Lineage: Eukaryota; Metazoa; Chordata; Mammalia; Primates; Cercopithecidae. The record is from Ensembl.